CUGACAGCCAAGUCGCGUGAGGAUGACUGUCUUAUGGAUUGUAAACUUCUUUUAUACGGGAAUAACAAGAGUCACGUGUGGCUCCCUGCAUGUACCGUAUGAAUAAGCAUCGGCUAACUCCGUGCCAGCAGCCGCGGUAAUACGGAGGAUGCGAGCGUUAUCCGGAUUUAUUGGGUUUAAAGGGUGCGUAGGCGGCCUGUUAAGUCAGCGGUGAAAUCUAGGAGCUUAACUCCUAAAUUGCCAUUGAUACUGGCGGGCUUGAGUGUAGAUGAGGUAGGCGGAAUGCGUGGUGUAGCGGUGGAAUGCAUAGAUAUCACGCAGAACUCCGAUUGCGAAGGCAGCUUACUAAGGUACAACUGACGCUGAAGCACGAAAGCGUGGGUAUCAAACAGGAUUAGAUACCCUGGUAGUCCACGCAGUAAACGAUGAUAACUGGGCGUAUGCGAUAUACAGUAUGCUCCUAAGCGAAAGCGUUAAGUUAUCCACCUGGGGAGUACGCCGGCAACGGUGAAACUCAAAGGAAUUGACGGA
RNAcentral lists this ribosomal RNA (531 nucleotides) under uncultured bacterium. Its description in RNAcentral is "bacterial SSU rRNA". It matches the Rfam family "Bacterial small subunit ribosomal RNA", at positions 383 to 917 of the family's 1533-position model. The record is from RNAcentral.